GACGAACGCUGGCGGCGUGCCUAAUACAUGCAAGUCGAGCGGACGGAUGGGAGCUUGCUCCCUGAAGUCAGCGGCGGACGGGUGAGUAACACGUGGGCAACCUGCCUGUAAGACUGGGAUAACUUCGGGAAACCGGAGCUAAUACCGGAUAAUGCAUGUCCCCUCAUGGGGACCUGCUGAAAGAUGGUUUCGGCUAUCACUUACAGAUGGGCCCGCGGCGCAUUAGCUAGUUGGUGAGGUAACGGCUCACCAAGGCAACGAUGCGUAGCCGACCUGAGAGGGUGAUCGGCCACACUGGGACUGAGACACGGCCCAGACUCC
This 321-nucleotide ribosomal RNA is filed under the name Bacillus sp. A0025. RNAcentral describes it as "bacterial SSU rRNA". It matches the Rfam family "Bacterial small subunit ribosomal RNA", at positions 28 to 339 of the family's 1533-position model. RNAcentral also lists the same sequence under 1 other name. Lineage: Bacteria; Bacillati; Bacillota; Bacilli; Caryophanales; Bacillaceae. The record is from RNAcentral.